GAACAACUUUAGCUUAAUGAGGUUGUUCAGGUGAGAACUAUAGCUCCCUGCAGCCUUUCUCAUGUAAACACUGUAUUUUCUGAGAAAAUACAGUGUUUACAUUGAAAGCUAGGAACACCUCCAGUUGCAGUCACUCAGAGUGAACCAGAGGGACUUCGGAGUUGAUGGAGGCAUAAUAUGCCUCCAUCCACUCAGAUCUGCUGUCAACAGAGCGCAG
Pelobates cultripes (western spadefoot toad) is the source of this 217-nucleotide non-coding RNA. The record is from the annotation of a GenBank genome assembly. NCBI's taxonomy places the organism in Eukaryota, Metazoa, Chordata, Amphibia, Anura, Pelobatidae.